Molecule: non-coding RNA, 118 nt
Organism: Sordaria brevicollis
Lineage: Eukaryota; Fungi; Ascomycota; Sordariomycetes; Sordariales; Sordariaceae
Source: the annotation of a GenBank genome assembly
GGCAACUUGGCCGAGCGGUCUAAGGCGCUAGACUCAAGAACCAACAGUUCUUCUGCACAACAAAGUGCGGUGUAUUCUAGUAUCGCAAGAUGCGUGAGUUCGAAUCUCACAGUUGUCA